This is a long non-coding RNA of Papilio xuthus (Asian swallowtail), 356 nucleotides long. RefSeq lists it as uncharacterized. Lineage: Eukaryota; Metazoa; Arthropoda; Insecta; Lepidoptera; Papilionidae. The record is from RefSeq and is a predicted model, not a curated record. The transcript has 3 exons.
GACUUGAUCUUCCUAGUACUGGACCCGCAGGACGAGGUGUUUGACCGCCGGCUGGCUGCGCAUCUCGUCUCUCUUUACUAUAAGGAUCCCGCCGACGCACAGGAAGACGAGGAAAACAUUAGCACGGGCGUGAUGCGCGACUUCAUAGCGUACGCCAAGGAGUACGUACAGCCCGUACUCAGUGAGCCAGCGCAGCAGCGACUUAUUGACGCAUACGUCGAUAUGAGACGUGUGGGCAGCGGCCGCGGUCAGAUCUCCGCCUACCCGCGACAGCUGGAGUCCCUCAUCCGGCUCGCGGAGGCGCACGCGCGCGUCAGACUCUCGCCUAUUGUUGAAAUUAUUGACGUAGAUGAAGC